RNAcentral lists this ribosomal RNA (447 nucleotides) under uncultured bacterium. RNAcentral's name for it is "bacterial SSU rRNA". It matches the Rfam family "Bacterial small subunit ribosomal RNA", at positions 355 to 825 of the family's 1533-position model. The record is from RNAcentral.
UGGGGAAUCUUGGACAAUGGGCGCAAGCCUGAUCCAGCCAUGCCGCGUGAGUGAAGAAGGCCUUCGGGUUGUAAAGCUCUUUUACCAGGGACGAUAAUGACGGUACCCGGAGAAUAAGUCCCGGCUAACUUCGGGCCAGCAGCCGCGGUAAUACGAAGGGGACUAGCGUUGUUCGGAAUCACUGGGCGUAAAGCGCACGUAGGCGGAUUUGUAAGUCAGGGGUGGAAUCCCGGGGCUCAACCUCGGAACUGCCUUUGAUACUGCGGAUCUCGAGUCCGAUAGAGGUGAGUGGAAUUCCUAGUGUAGAGGUGAAAUUCGUAGAUAUUGGGAAGAACACCAGUGGCGAAGGCGGCUAACUGGUCCGGUACUGACGCUGAGGUGCGAAAGCGUGGGGAGCAAACAGGAUUAGAUACCCCUGUAGUCCCUGAGCGGGCUGGCAAGGCGCAU